This 543-nucleotide ribosomal RNA is filed under the name uncultured Mycobacterium sp. Its description in RNAcentral is "bacterial SSU rRNA". It matches the Rfam family "Bacterial small subunit ribosomal RNA", at positions 54 to 606 of the family's 1533-position model. Lineage: Bacteria; Bacillati; Actinomycetota; Actinomycetes; Mycobacteriales; Mycobacteriaceae. The record is from RNAcentral.
CAUGCAAGUCGAACGGAAAGUGCCCAGCUUGCUGGGUGACUCGAGUGGCGAACGGGUGAGUAACACGUGGGUGAUCUGCCCUGCACUUUGGGAUAAGCCUGGGAAACUGGGUCUAAUACCGAAUACACCCUGCUGGUCGCAUGGCCUGGUGGGGGAAAGCUUUUGCGGUGUGGGAUGGGCCCGCGGCCUAUCAGCUUGUUGGUGGGGUGAUGGCCUACCAAGGCGACGACGGGUAGCCGGCCUGAGAGGGUGUCCGGCCACACUGGGACUGAGAUACGGCCCAGACUCCUACGGGAGGCAGCAGUGGGGAAUAUUGCACAAUGGGCGCAAGCCUGAUGCAGCGACGCCGCGUGAGGGAUGACGGCCUUCGGGUUGUAAACCUCUUUCAACGCCGACGAAGCGGAAGUGACGGUAGGCGGAGAAGAAGCACCGGCCAACUACGUGCCAGCAGCCGCGGUAAUACGUAGGGUGCGAGCGUUGUCCGGAAUUACUGGGCGUAAAGAGCUCGUAGGUGGUUUGUCGCGUUGUUCGUGAAAACUCACA